RNAcentral lists this long non-coding RNA (989 nucleotides) under Cyanistes caeruleus (blue tit). RNAcentral's name for it is "lncRNA (ENSCCEG00000006937.1)". Lineage: Eukaryota; Metazoa; Chordata; Aves; Passeriformes; Paridae. The record is from RNAcentral.
CUUCUAUAGUGCCUGCAUGUUAGAGACUCUUCUUAUUUUUUUUUAGUUACUUAAGUGGCAAUACUCGAGUGUCAAGCACCCUGGGAUAAAAUAAACCUGACUCAUCUCUAAAGAGAGGAAGGAGAGGAGAAGCCUGGUGGAAGGAAAAACUCCAAGAGAAAGUAGCCAUGAGUUCAUAAUACCCAGACCUGAAAUAUCUUUGGAAAAUGCAAGAGGAGUGUGUUUACCAACAAAGGCAAAAAGGAAAAGGCAGAGAGGCAGUGGAGAACUUGUUGUCACCAACCAGCUCUUCAUUUUUUGUGGAGAAAGCUUCAAGUGUGAAGGAGCACUAACCCAGAAGAAAGAGCAAUCAAAUGUGCUAAAAAGCACUGCUUUCCACUUGCAAAAAGUCCUGUUUAGUACAUGUUUAUGAAACUCGUCUCAGAUGUUCUAAAAAUAGCCUUGCAGGAGCAAGUCAGCUCCCUCCAGGAAGCCCUACACGUUCCUAGCAUAGAAGCGCAGCUUAAUCCUGAUUUUCACAAAAAGAACAAUUAUUUUUAGUGCUUUUAAAAACAGACUUUAGUUGCCCGGUGCUGAUUUGUCAAAACAAAACAUGAAAGAUGUGUCACUUCACAGGAAUGUGGCACAAGUUGAUGGGUUCCGAAUGUCCAGAACGUCUGACAGUAAUGUGGUGGUUCAGAUGUGUCAGGAGGUGUUAAGAUAAAGAUUUCAGGCAAGGCUUGUGGGGCAACAAUAAGAUGAAAAAAAGGGUCUAAGGAGCAUCCUGACGGCGAUGAAGAGAGAGACAGAGGAAAGGGACGUCCUAGGGAGCAGUGUUGAAAGAACAUAAGAACAAGUAAGAACACAACCAAAGCAUAAUGACUUCUUCUGGCUGCGGUGCCAGAUAUCCUCAACAAGAGAAAUGUUGCACAGCUAGUUGGACAGUUAUAAGGAAUAUGAUUUGGUAUGGUUAUGUCAUUACAGAAGUCCAGUUAAACUUGGUCCUAGUG